Pipra filicauda (Wire-tailed manakin) is the source of this 1262-nucleotide long non-coding RNA. RefSeq lists it as uncharacterized. The transcript is spliced from 3 exons. NCBI's taxonomy places the organism in Eukaryota, Metazoa, Chordata, Aves, Passeriformes, Pipridae. The record is from RefSeq and is a predicted model, not a curated record.
GCGGGGGGGCGUCUCCUCCAGGGGAUGGAGGAGCUGUGCCCUGCACUGCCCUGCCGGGGCUCCCGGCGCUCCGGAGCGUCCGGAGCUCAGGCUAUCCCGCCCGCAGCCGCAGGACUCCCAGCACAGCUCCUGGCAGCAGGGAUGGAGCAGCCCCGGGCCAGCGCUUCCAUCGGGCACAAGAUGGAUUUGUCUCCCGAGCAGGGCUCGUCUGCCAAACGCACAUCCCAGGGGGGGGAACCAGCCACGGGCACCGGGGUGGGCACGGGGAAAGGACUGCCUGCGGCUCCUCAGCCGGGGGCUGCUCUGAACGGGCCCCCUGAGAUGCCUCACCCCGGACACGCCCCAGCGCCAGCCCAGAAGCACCCAAAGAAUCCAGCCGGCACUCGGCAGGGUCGGCACGGCGGGGCUGCAGAGCAGCGCGGGCAGCCAUUCCCAGGGCCCACCUCCCAGAGCUCCCCCGCGCCCCCCACGCGUGUCCCGCCCGCCCCAAAUCCCUGCCCUUCCAGCCGGAGCCCAGCAGCCAGCAGCAGCCUUAAAGCCGGGGCCAUGUGCCCUCAGCGGCACUAAAGCCCGAGCCAGAGCCCUCGGAGAUGCCUGAAAAGAAAAGGGGAUGCUCGGAGAAAGUCGGGCUCGGAGGCAAUUCGCAGUUUUUCGGGGACCCAACCGCACCUGCAGAGCCCGUGGACAGCUGGAACAGGUGGGUCAGAGCCGAGGUGCCCUGAAGGCAGGGCUGUGCAUCCCUUUCCUCGGGGAAAAGAAUUCCCCGGGGCCGCUCCCGAGGCUCCGAAGGGACAGCGGCUUCCCGGCCGGAGAGACGUCCUCGCCCGUGCUCAGGGGCUGCCUCGCCCCGGGCCGGGAGCGCGUCCGGCCCCCGCCUUCUCCUGGGCGAACCCAUCCCCUGGAGCCCGGCCCGGGGCGGAAAAGCGGCCGAAUUCCAGCGAACUCGCUCAAGUCCCCCCAGGGACACCAGCGGGGCUGGGGGAGGAGGGUUACAAACAGCAAAGUCUGUGGAAUAUCAACCUGUCCUUGUCCCGAUCCCGCUGAGCAAACCUGGAACUGUGGCUGCUUCCUGGCAAACCUGGCGUUAGAGCAGCAGCUCUGCGGGGGAACAUCCGGGCUCCAGGAGGCACUGGGAGGCUGUUGCAGCAGGAAUUCGGCAUGGAAUUGCGGGCUGUGAAUUGUGCACAAGCCAGUCCCCCAUUCCCUAUCCAGGCUGGGAGUGCUCGUGCCCUUGGCACAGAUGGCUCUGGCUGGGCAGGAAC